GUAUUGUUGAAGAAUCCUAUAAUAGGACAAAACGGCCGUCCAAUAC
RNAcentral lists this non-coding RNA (46 nucleotides) under Schistosoma haematobium. Lineage: Eukaryota; Metazoa; Platyhelminthes; Trematoda; Strigeidida; Schistosomatidae. The record is from RNAcentral.